Camelina sativa (false flax) is the source of this 415-nucleotide long non-coding RNA. RefSeq lists it as uncharacterized. The record is from RefSeq and is a predicted model, not a curated record. Lineage: Eukaryota; Viridiplantae; Streptophyta; Magnoliopsida; Brassicales; Brassicaceae.
AUGGAUGAUAUUAUUGGUGAUAUAACCAUUACAAAUGACGGUGUUAAUAUUCUUAGGAUGUUGGGGGUCGAACACCAAGCUACCAAGAAUAGACCAGAGAAAGGAUGCGAGGACAAGUGUCUAUCUAAAUUGAAAAGACUCAAGAAUAGACUCAAUAGUCGUAGAUUUACUCAAAAGUAUUAGUUGAUUCAUUUUGUCACAUCUUCUUCAUUUUUUGGGGAGUUUUGGAUACAGAGUUCAGUCUAAUUUAGAAAAGAUGAAUGAAGUUUUCAUAUCUAAUGCCUGAGAUGCUUUUUUUCAUAUCUAAUGCUUGAGAUGCUUUUUUUCUAUACUCGUUUGAGUGUGCAUUUUUUAACAUCUAAAGAGUGUAGUAUGUAUGACCUAUUAAUAAUGGAUUUGUAGAGACCCUCAAGCA